RNAcentral lists this ribosomal RNA (440 nucleotides) under uncultured bacterium. Its description in RNAcentral is "partial 16S ribosomal RNA". It matches the Rfam family "Bacterial small subunit ribosomal RNA", at positions 338 to 795 of the family's 1533-position model. The record is from RNAcentral.
CCUACGGGUGGCAGCAGUGGGGACUAUUGCACAAUGGGGGAAACCCUGAUGCAGCGACGCAGCGUGAGUGAAGAAGUCUUUCGGUAUGUAAAGGUCUAUCAGCAGGGAAGAAAAUGACGGUAACUGAUUAAGAAGCCCCGGCUAACUACGUGCCAGCAGCCGCGGUAAUAAGUAGGGGGCAAGCGUUAUCCGGAUUUACUGGGUGUAAAGGGAGCGUAGACGGCAGCACAAGUCUGUAGUGAACUGCCGGUGCUUAACCCCGGAACUGCUUUUGAAACUGUGCAGCUAUGGUGCAGGAGAGUUAAGUGGAAUUCCUAGUGUAGCGGUGAAAUGCGUAGAUAUUAGGAGGAACACCAGUGGCGAAGGCGGCUUACUGGACUGUAACUGACGUUGAGGCUCGAAAGCGUGGGGAGCAAACAGGAUUAGAUACCCUUGUAGUC